The sequence is a ribosomal RNA, 1368 nucleotides long. It matches the Rfam family "Bacterial small subunit ribosomal RNA", at positions 63 to 1440 of the family's 1533-position model.
CGAUCGAUGAAGCCCAGCUUGCUGGGUGGAUUAGUGGCGAACGGGUGAGUAACACGUGAGUAACCUGCCCUUAACUCUGGGAUAAGCCUGGGAAACUGGGUCUAAUACCGGAUAGGAGCGCCCACCGCAUGGUGGGUGUUGGAAAGAUUUAUCGGUUUUGGAUGGACUCGCGGCCUAUCAGCUUGUUGGUGAGGUAAUGGCUCACCAAGGCGACGACGGGUAGCCGGCCUGAGAGGGUGACCGGCCACACUGGGACUGAGACACGGCCCAGACUCCUACGGGAGGCAGCAGUGGGGAAUAUUGCACAAUGGGCGCAAGCCUGAUGCAGCGACGCCGCGUGAGGGAUGACGGCCUUCGGGUUGUAAACCUCUUUCAGUAGGGAAGAAGCGAAAGUGACGGUACCUGCAGAAGAAGCACCGGCUAACUACGUGCCAGCAGCCGCGGUAAUACGUAGGGUGCGAGCGUUAUCCGGAAUUAUUGGGCGUAAAGAGCUCGUAGGCGGUUUGUCGCGUCUGUCGUGAAAGUCCGGGGCUUAACCCCGGAUCUGCGGUGGGUACGGGCAGACUAGAGUGCAGUAGGGGAGACUGGAAUUCCUGGUGUAGCGGUGGAAUGCGCAGAUAUCAGGAGGAACACCGAUGGCGAAGGCAGGUCUCUGGGCUGUAACUGACGCUGAGGAGCGAAAGCAUGGGGAGCGAACAGGAUUAGAUACCCUGGUAGUCCAUGCCGUAAACGUUGGGCACUAGGUGUGGGGACCAUUCCACGGUUUCCGCGCCGCAGCUAACGCAUUAAGUGCCCCGCCUGGGGAGUACGGCCGCAAGGCUAAAACUCAAAGGAAUUGACGGGGGCCCGCACAAGCGGCGGAGCAUGCGGAUUAAUUCGAUGCAACGCGAAGAACCUUACCAAGGCUUGACAUGUUCUCGAUCGCCGUAGAGAUACGGUUUCCCCUUUGGGGGCGGGUUCACAGGUGGUGCAUGGUUGUCGUCAGCUCGUGUCGUGAGAUGUUGGGUUAAGUCCCGCAACGAGCGCAACCCUCGUUCCAUGUUGCCAGCACGUCGUGGUGGGGACUCAUGGGAGACUGCCGGGGUCAACUCGGAGGAAGGUGAGGACGACGUCAAAUCAUCAUGCCCCUUAUGUCUUGGGCUUCACGCAUGCUACAAUGGCCGGUACAAUGGGUUGCGAUACUGUGAGGUGGAGCUAAUCCCAAAAAGCCGGUCUCAGUUCGGAUUGGGGUCUGCAACUCGACCCCAUGAAGUCGGAGUCGCUAGUAAUCGCAGAUCAGCAACGCUGCGGUGAAUACGUUCCCGGGCCUUGUACACACCGCCCGUCAAGUCACGAAAGUUGGUAACACCCGAAGCCGGUGGCCUAACC